CAUCACAGCCCAGCCUGCCCCACCCUUUGUCCCCACCCCACGCAGCCUCUUGUGUAGCCUGAAGCAAUCAAAAUCUGGCUAUCUGCAAAGUGCACGCUGAACUGCAGGAGUAUCCAUCCAUCCUUGACUCCCUGGGGAGGCAGUGCUGCAUUCCUGAUUACACAGGACAUGGAGAAGACAUGGCUUUGACAGCGCUGGAAAUUGUUGCAGCACCUUUCUCCAACACAAAAGUUAACUCUGGGAGUCUGAUCUGAAGAUGAAGAGGCCAUGGCAAGGAACCUGGAACUAGAGACUCCUGUUACCAUAUGGACAUUGAAUACCCUCCCUUUUUGAGAGAGUCCAAUCCCUCUGGAAGUUUUACCCUGUGCAAAGAUGCUAAUAACUGGCAUCUUGAGCAAAUGCUGUGUUGAAUGUCUGUGCCUCACUUUGGCGGGGAAUGCAGGCACAAGUACUCACUGCUUGUGGUUGGUUGACCUUGGCUGGACAGAGAGAGAAAAUAAGGAGUAAAGACUUGUGGGCUGAGACAAGAACAGAGAGAUUGCUCAGGCUCAUCUGGGGGAAACAUUUAUAAUUUGCGACCAAUCAAAUCAGAGUGGGACAAUAAAAAAUAAAACCAGACUUUAAAAUA
Long non-coding RNA from Cyanistes caeruleus (blue tit), 628 nucleotides. RefSeq lists it as uncharacterized. The record is from RefSeq and is a predicted model, not a curated record. Lineage: Eukaryota; Metazoa; Chordata; Aves; Passeriformes; Paridae.